Anas platyrhynchos (mallard) is the source of this 658-nucleotide non-coding RNA. The record is from RefSeq and is a predicted model, not a curated record. Lineage: Eukaryota; Metazoa; Chordata; Aves; Anseriformes; Anatidae.
GGAGGAGGUGGAGGCACAACGCAUGAGCGGCGGCGGCGGCGCCUGGGGAGGGGGGAUCGCUCGGGCACCCGCGGGGACUCUGCAGCAGCGCCCUAUGGAGAGGCGGCGGGCAGCGGGGCUGUGCUGAGGGGUCCAGGGGCUGCCUACCUGCCUGCCUUCCCCUGCCGCCGCGCCUAAGGAAGUGGCUCCCGACGCGACCCGACAAUAAGCGUAGGUAGAUGUGCAAUUGCCCAUAAAAAGAUAAGGGAGUCCCCGCGCCGCUUCGCCGCCCCCGCUGACAAUGGGAAGGUUGCGGGGUUACAACAACCAGACAAAAGUGAUGUGCCCUCUCUGCCGGCGGGUCAGGCAGCCCGGCUCUGCGCUCCGCCGUGGGUCUGUGUUUACCCACACUUGCCUUUGUUUAUAACACUCGCAAAGAAGAAUCUCCCCUUGUUUGCUUUUCCUUGCCUGUUAGUUGCCCAGCUGAUAAACCAGAGGACCUCGCAGCCCCCCGCUCCACCUCCGCCAAAAUCUUUUUGCACGCAAACGGCGAGGGAGGAUGGCUCCAGGGGGGCGAGGGCUGUAGGGCGGCAGGGCCAGCCUAGCCUUCCCCUGCCCCAGCAGCCGAGCUGCUGCUCCCCGGGCCUUGGGGGGCACGGGGAAGCCGCCCACCCCCUGC